This 27-nucleotide non-coding RNA is filed under the name Mus musculus (house mouse). Lineage: Eukaryota; Metazoa; Chordata; Mammalia; Rodentia; Muridae. The record is from RNAcentral.
CGGUGUCGAGAGACGGGAGUGUAAUCG